This is a long non-coding RNA of Sapajus apella (tufted capuchin), 102 nucleotides long. RefSeq lists it as uncharacterized. NCBI's taxonomy places the organism in Eukaryota, Metazoa, Chordata, Mammalia, Primates, Cebidae. The record is from RefSeq and is a predicted model, not a curated record. The transcript has 3 exons.
CUCCCACGGCAGCGUGGGAGCUCUCUCUACUUCUUUUUCUCUUUCUCUGCCUAAUAAAUCGCUGUCUGCUAAACUCUUUGAGUCCACAAAUUUAUUCAAAUA